CUACGUGCCAGCAGCCGCGGUAAUACGUAGGUGGCAAGCGUUGUCCGGAAUUAUUGGGCGUAAAGCGCGCGCAGGCGGAUUGGUCAGUCUGUCUUAAAAGUUCGGGGCUUAACCCCGUGAUGGGAUGGAAACUGCCAAUCUAGAGUAUCGGAGAGGAAAGUGGAAUUCCUAGUGUAGCGGUGAAAUGCGUAGAUAUUAGGAAGAACACCAGUGGCGAAGGCGACUUUCUGGACGAAAACUGACGCUGAGGCGCGAAAGCCAGGGGAGCGAACGGGAUUAGAUACCCCGGUAGUCCUGGCCGUAAACGAUGGGUACUAGGUGUAGGAGGUAUCGACCCCGUCUGUGCCGGAGUUAACGCAAUAAGUACCCCGCCUGGGGAGUACGACCGCAAGGUUGAAACUCAAAGGAAUUGACGGGGGCCCGCACAAGCGGUGGAGUAUGUGGUUUAAUUCGACGCAACGCGAAGAACCUUACCAGGUCUUGACAU
This 487-nucleotide ribosomal RNA is filed under the name uncultured bacterium. RNAcentral's name for it is "bacterial SSU rRNA". It matches the Rfam family "Bacterial small subunit ribosomal RNA", at positions 501 to 987 of the family's 1533-position model. The record is from RNAcentral.